GCCACAAAACUGUUGAAGAUUAUACUUUAACCAUUACUUAAAAACAUUCAAAACGUUUUGCUUAUAGGAUGCUUUCACUGGAUGCCAAAUUCUUCCAUGUUCCCACAAAGUGCACAAAGAAUGUGCAACUCAAAUGAUACGCAGCGGAAUGUGAGUACAUAUAUACUUGUAAAUUGGUUCAUGAAUUAUGAUCUGUACGAUUGCAUGGGCAGUGAGCAGGGCCGUCCUCAGGAAAUUCUUCAGGGGGGGUGUAAUAAGGUCAAUUCAACCGACUGGUUCAAAAAAAAUCGCCAAAAAAAUUUCGGUCAGUGUACCAUUUUAGGGGUCCAAAAAUUUUUCCGGACCUACAAAAAUUUUCCGGAACAUUCAAAAAUUUUCAGCACAUAACAAAUUUUCAACAUUUUUUUACAUUUUUCCAAAAUUUUUACAUUUUUCCUCAAAAUUUUCCUAAAAUUCCCACCACGUUCUUGCCCUUUGCGCCAAAAAUAUUUAACCCAAAUAGCAGUUCUACCGACUGAAUAGCAGUCCUACCGACUGAAUACAAUUACUGGGNNNNNNNNNNNNNNNNNNNNCCCCCCCCCCCACACCCCCCCGCCCGUAGCUCCGGGCCUGGCAGUGAGCAACGUAUGUAACUUGGUAUGUUUAGUAUUGUUGAACGCAGUGAAUAUCCAGAAUUCGAAUUAUAUAUCAAAUGUUUUCAAGAACAAAACAUGAGUUCUGUGCGUUUUGAAAGGCAUGCGUGGGUGAAAAUCGUAUUUUUUUCAUGCAUGUUAAGAAGUACGUAUACAUGCACGUAAUAAUGUAAAUUACUGAAAAUUCCGACAAAUUUUUCUGUGUGCGGAUCACACAUUUGUGACAAAAUUUUCAAAUAUCAUUCAUAUACUGUUAAUCCUAAUUUGUAUAUUCUCUUCAUCACAUGAUUAGCUGUAUCAACCACAAAUUAAAAUACUUAUUUUCUGAAAACAUCCGAAGAUUUUUCAAUAUUUUUAGCCUGCCAGAAACUUCAGCGACAUAACAACGAUUUCCAUUUUGAUGCUUAUUUGAGAGCUUUGGCAAUUUUAGAUCUUUCUAAGUUCACACUACGUCAACUAACCUUCUGAAACACACUAACGAUUUGUGUUUUCUUUUGUUUCACAGCACACGUUGCCCAAUCUGUCGUGAGAGUUUUGCGCACAAACUUGAACGACGACCACUGCCAAAUUCACGAAAACGUGCUGGAAAAUAACUAUGGAUGGAAAGCCAGGUGCAAGAUUUUCAUAAACUUGACAAACGUCGUAUAGUAAUUGAGUUUCUGGGUAACCUCGGCUAUUCACUUGGUAACUGUAAGUAUUUUAUGUUACUUGAAACAGCUGUCAACGAGGUAAUGCGGUAGCAUGGAUAGUCGAACCAAUACAAUUUAAUCGGCCGGAAAUUCCUGCAUGCAUGCCUGGGGAGAGUAAAAACAUAAAAUAUAGGCAUUUUUUACCCUAUUUAAAAAAAAUGUUAAAAAUUUCUUUACAUGUACUAUUUAAAACGUGAGCAGCAGCUAGUGUUUUAUCAGAUGUAAAGAUACACGCGCGUGUUGCAAUUAAAGCAUAUUUUCUUACUUCCCCGCCAAAAUAAUAAUUUUCCCCGGACCUGUGGGCUAUUAACGUCCACCGCAUGGGGGUUGUAGACUGUCCUGCACCCCGGAAUGCCAUGUGCUUCACAAGAUUCUUCGCACAAUUUUGCAUUUUGACUGAUAUAAACAUUCCGCUUCUCAUUUAUUUAGAUCCAGAUGGGACGUUUGAUUACAAUAACACCGCAUUUUUUAUACCAGUUUAAUUAGAUGAAUGUAGCUUUCAGGGAGGCGAACAUUAUGUAAUCAGGAUAUCACAUAGCAAAAUAUACGCAAAAUCAAUAUAAUCUUAAAGUAUGGGUGUAGCUAUAUGCACAUGUAAUCAGGGAAUUAUAGCAGGAAGGGAUAUCGGAAACUAAUCUACUCCGGGGCUGGUUUUAGGAUAGUUUAU
This 1988-nucleotide long non-coding RNA is filed under the name Paramuricea clavata. The record is from RNAcentral. Lineage: Eukaryota; Metazoa; Cnidaria; Anthozoa; Malacalcyonacea; Plexauridae.